AGAAGUUUCAGCUCUCUCCUACUACUAUUCAUCCCUUCCUCCCCCUCCUGUUCCUCACUUCUGUAACUACCAAGCUCGCCACCUUUUCUCUUUCUGUGUGUGCGCGCGCGCUCAUCACUUCAUUCCUCUCGCUCGCUCUCUCAGAUACGACGGCACCACGUAGGAUCACUGUCCCCCCACCCACCCACCCCACAUCUCCCCACACCCUCUCAAAGCCUCCAUCCGUAGCGCAGGAAGUGGCCUCCUGAAGGUCAACGACACACACACACACACUAAAACAAAGAACAGAUAAACAAGCAACACAGAAAAGAGGGUUCAAGUGCACAUAAAAAAGGAAAAGAAAGCGGAAAAGAAAACAAAGGAAUAAAACGCGCGGUAAACCCUCCUCCAUCUGGACCCUUCUCUCUCUUAUUGUGUGACGUUCUCUUACCAUCUCUCCUGUUGUGUUGGAUCUUGAGAUACACCCGCAAGUGUGCACGUGAGUGUGUGUCUCUCUCUCUCAAUCUCUGCCCACGACUCUCUCGCCGUGUGUACCGGAGUUUUGUUGAGCUUUCCUUUUUUGCGUCUGCGUGUUUCUGUGCGUUCGCCGUAGGUGUGAAUUGUUUUUAUUUGCUGUGCGUUUUUUUUUUACUUUGACUUGUUCGACUGUGUUCUUCUGUGGUUGUUCGCUUCCCCCUUCUCCACCGCCGCCCGUGACACCUCCCUUCCUUCCACGUCUGUAUUGGAUUGCGUCCCCUUCCUCUUCUUUGUGCGUUCUGCGCUACAUCUCUCCUCUUCUCUCUCUCCUGACCGCCGCCUUGUUCUCCCUCUCUGUCUGUAUUGCGAUUUCGCAUUCGCGUGGCGUCGACACUUUCCUCCUCUCAUUCGUGUGUGUUGCCGACUUUUCGUUUGUGUGUGUGCGUGCGAUUGUGCGUCCUGUCUUUCCCCUAUCUCAUCUCACUUAUUCCUUUCGCCUUUCCUCUCCCUCUCGCACACUUACACCCACACUAGCGCCCCCCUCCUCCUUCCCACCCUCUAACCCUCCCCCUCCCCUCCCCUCCUAUCCCACUGAUAGACUGAGGUUUCAGCCGUCAACAAGUCUUUUCCCUCUUUCACCUCCCUCCCUCCACACCCCUUGUACAACAACGUACAUUUACGGACACUUAUACCCACACUAGCGCCCUCCCCCCAUUUCCCCUCCCUCCCCAUCCUCUCCCGUUUUUCCCCUCUCCCCUUCUGUGCCAGCCAACGAGGUGCGUGUCUGUGUGAUCAACCUCCUCCUCGCCUGCGCCUUUCCUCCUUCUCAAAGGACAUCUCCUUCUUAAGUGCUCCUUUUCGUUGCCUUUGUUGUUGAUGAUAAGCAGUACGAAGUAGAUUUGUGCUCGCCUUCCUUGCCUUCCCCCUCACCCUUGCUCCCUCCCUCGUGUGGCUCUGAUCUGCGCUGGUACCUGUCCUCUCCGCCUUCCUCUUUCCGCUCGCGCCUCUCAUAGCCUCGUCGCUAUCCUUCCUCUGGCACGUGCAUCUCAUGUACGGCCAGCAGUUCGUGCCCGGUCAAAUGUACGGCCAACCCAACAUGAUGCCCUACCAGCCUGGCGUGCUGUCUCCUCCCAUGUCCACUGGGGUGUCCGUGAUGCCCAACUACGCGCCUCCUUACCAGAACGGGAUGCCGCCGGGCUCGGUGCAGCAGCAACAAGGCCAGGGUCCAGCCCAAGGUCAAGCCAUGCCGCAGACGCAGCCACGGCCGCGGAACAACGAGGUUGGCAAUACCAGCUCCGUCAUUCACAUGCGCAACGUCACCCCCGAGGUGACACAGCUUAGCAUUCAGAAUCUGGCCCAGAACUUUGGCGACAUCAAGCACAUCGUGAUGCUGCGCCAGAUGAACCAGGCUCUCAUCGAGAUGAAGAGCCCCAAGAGCGCUGAGCAGCUGGUGGACUUCUUUAAGGAGCCCGGCUACGCGGAAAUCGAUGGCCGCCGCGUGUACAUUCGUUUUAGCACCCACCAGAACCUUACGGCCACGCAGCACGCCACUCGCACCCUGUUGGUAUCGAUGUUCAACACGCAGUACGACGUGUCUGCCGCAGCGCACAUUACGCCAGAGAUCGUGUACCAGAUAUUUGCUAGCUACGGCACCGUGGAGCGCAUCGUGGUGCUGCCCAAAAACGAGAGCAGUCAGUGGAACCACAACCGUGUUCAGGCGCUCGUCCAGUUCGACGCUCGCGAGUCCGCCGAACACGUGAAGAAUAUUUUGCAGGGCCAGCCUGUCACCCUCGGCGAGACCAUCACUUUCACCCUCGACAUUCAGUUCUCGCGCAUGGACGAGAUCAAGACGACGAACCCAACGACGUCGCUUGUCGUCGACGAUGAAGGUGCCCACCGCCCCGCUGGUACGAUGGACCCCAUGGCGAUGAACGCAGCGGCGAUGACGACCACGGGCAUGUAUCCGCCGAUGGGGUGGAGCUAAGCGCUCCGGCGUGCAUUCCGUGGCCUACGGCAGCGACAUAAUCAUCAUGGAUACGAGGUGCACAUAGGGAGAGUGCUGAAAGGGGUGCGCAUGGUUGCGCGAGUGUGUAGACAUCGUGGAGGUCGGGGCCUUUUUCCUCUGUUUUCGGGUGUUCGAGUGGGCGAAGGAGAGUGCGUCUGUAGAUAUGUUUGUGUGCCUGCGCGUGUGAUGCGUGCCUGCGUGUCUCUCAAGCGGCGAACGGACGCGCUCGGCGUCAACACACGGAGGCGAAAAGAACACCAACCUCCCGCUCGCCACCAUUUUCUUCUUCUGUCGUAGAAAACACCAUUACGAGUCUACUCGCGUCUCUCCUCCUGUUUUGUUUCGUUUUGUUGUGCCUGCACGCCUUACGACGUGCUCUAUUUUCUCGCCUCGCCUCUCUCUGUGUGUGCGCUUUCGCUCUCGCACUUGCAGUGUUCCCGUGAGGUGAUUGAUUUUUAUUUAGGUGAAGCGAGACUGGCGCGCAUUGCACGUGUGUGUGUGCGCGCUUUCCCACAUAACCGCUUUCGAGCAUCUCCCUACAGUUUGAAACGAUCGGAUCGGGCGUCCUUCUCUCUCCAUGGACUGCGGAUGCAAGGCGCACAAACACCUCCCCGCCUCUCGUGCCAAUUAGCUUCGUCAGUCAGCCCUCAGGUUGCUGCCAUGUGCUCCCCACCUUUGCACCCUUCAUCGUUUCCAUCCGCAUCUGGCAGCCAUACCUUGCCCACCCUUCACCGUUCGCCUCCGCCCGAUGUGUGGAUGAUGGCGUCUCUCUUUUUGUGCCCGUCGCACAUCGUUUUUCUUCUUUUUUCUUCCCGUUGUGUGUGUGCGUGUGUGUUACGGUAUCUUGAUCCGUGUAUAUGGUUGUGUGCUUGUGGGUGUAAGCGUCUUGAUGUUCUUUGUUUGUUUUUUCCUCUCCUCGUUUUCUCCUCCUCACCUCCAUCCGUGCUGCCCUUCACUCCGCCCCUCCCUCUCCUCAUGCCUGCUUUCGUUUCUGGUGUGGUCAUCGCCUUGGAUAAUGCUGGACGCGCACACAUACACGCACAUAUACAACUGCCUCCGUCUUUCUUUCCCUCUCUCUGCAGCUCUGUACCGAUUCUCCUCUGCCCCCAUCCCUCCAUCGUUUUUGCUUGUCUUGGCAGACGUGUAAGGUCGAAGGUGUUGUUCUCCUCUACCCCCAUCCCCGCUCAGCACAGGCGAAAUCACACACACAAACAUAUAUAUAUAUAUAUAUACAGAGAUGUAAACUCAGAUCGGAGUCUACAGCCAUGUGUGCCUAUGCGCUCACGUAAACAGCAAGUGGAUGGGGAGGAGGAUUGCGGCGGUAAGGACAGCUCUCGUUCUUUUCGUCUUCGUCUGUAUAUGCAGAUGUGUUCGUGUAUGCAUAUCUGCGCGUGUGCUGUUGUUGUUGGUCUUGUCUUCUCUCGGCCUUUGUUAAAAUACGAAAAAGAAAAACAAUGCAUGCGCUCUCGGCUGUCGAUUCCCCCCCCCCUCCUCCACCUCCUCCCCUCUUUUCCGUACACCGCCUCCCUCUUCCCACUCGCGUCCCUUCCCUCUGUGCGUGUGUGUGCAUAGCGUCUGACGAUGCUUCGUUUCUUGUCCUCGUUUUGUCCGUUGGUGUACCUCUUGGUGCUUGCCUUGUUUGCCCCAGCACCGCACCUCCUCCUCUGGUCUCCUCGUCUGCCCCCAUCCCUCCCCCCUCUACGUGUGCGUGUGCUCGGUUGCGCCCUCGGUGGCUCCCUGCCUCUCUGCUGGUCUAUAUUGUUACACCCACGCCCUUUUUUCCCCUCUUCGUCAGUAUGUUUUGUUUCUUUGUUUCCCUGGCAGGGCAAGGUCUCCCCCGGUACACCCCCUCCCUCCUUCCUCUGUCCUCGACCCUCUCCCGGCCUCCCUCGUCCCAGAAGUCCUCCUCCCGCCCCUCUGCCCCUUACUCGGCAUGCAGAGGCGAUCAUUUCUUUUUUCUUCCGUGUUUGCAUGGCCUUUUUCCUCUCUUCCGCUCCCUCGGUCACACACGCAAACGUGAAAGAAGAAACAAUCAACUGGAACGCACGGUCAUGUUGACAGGAAACGGGAGGCCAUUUAGGUGACUUCGACUGUAGUGGUGCUCGGAAUCACGGGGGUUGCAAGGAGGAUAUCAGCAAGAUCAGAGGUGGCGGGCGCAUGUACAAGCGCACGCACGUGCGGCCGAAGGGGCCUUCAAGAGAUGCAACAGGGAUGUAGACGCGUUCACAUCACGAGAGAGGAAGCUCAUGUACGAGGGAGAAUGGAGGGUCCUGUGGCGUAUGGCUCCACUGCCGUGCCCUGUGAUGUUUAUGGUUGGUAGGUGCGCCGCCCAGACCUGCUUCUCUUGUCGUUUUCUCUGCCGCUGUUCACGCACCGUUCGCCUUUGCGCGUUCGUCUCAUCGCAUCUACCGUUGAGAAGGUGUGGGUAACCUCUCCCUCUCCUUUCUCUUCUCUCCUCCCCCACGCCUCCAUCACGUCAGCACCCCCUCCUGCCCUCCUUCCCGGAGCUGUGCCCUCUUGCUCUCGCUGUUUUGCACUCUUCGGUUUUACUGCCACGAAACGUCGCCCCCCCCCCCCCCACACACACACAGAGCAGAAAGAAGAAAAAAGUACACACGCACUCACGCAGAGGGAGAGGGAGAGAGGAACAGCGGAAACAUGAUCGACGUCAACAACAACCAAAUUAGAACUCAGCGCAUGUUCCGCCUCUCGAUAAAAUCCCUAUUCCCGUGUACGUGUGCGUGCGCAUUCGUGUCGUUGUCGUGGUAUCCUUGCCUGGUAUCCCUUGUUCCUCUUUCAUCCCCUCACCGUGUUGAAGUACACUCUUCUUUAUUUUGUGUGUGUGUGUGUGUGUGCUGCGCUCUCUUUCUCUCCGUCUCUCUUUACCUUCGUCUCUCUUGUUUUCCGUUUUUUGUUGUUGUGUGGUGUUUCCUCUCUCCUUUCUCUCUAUUAACUGUCCCUCCCUCUCUCUCUAUCCCUGUGGGGGUUUCCUUAGCCGCCCUCUCCCCUUCCUCCCCUCCCCUCCCCUUCCCCCAAGCACUUCGUACAGAUAAGCCGCGCACAGACACACACGCACACAGGGAGAGAGAGAGAUAACCACACAGAAUACAGAGAGCGUGCUCUUCCCUUUUCCUAUAACCUCCCUCCACCUCACGUUUGUUUUUCUCGUUUUGCCUCUUUCAGUGAUUCCACCCUCGCGAAUGGGCAUCGCUAACGCUUGCGACGAAGCGAGGCGCAGGGAUACACGAAGUAUAUUGUCAUCUAUGGAGAUAGGAAGAGGCGGGACGGAGAGAAAGCAACGCAAGAGGGCAUCGCAUGAUGUAGACCACAAUCAAGUAAGGAGAGUGAAACGAACUGUGUUGCUGCUGCUGCUGCGAGGAGGCAAGCGGAAGAAAAAGAGAAGGAUAGGGAGCAUCUCAAUGUAUCUGUCUCUGUCUCCUCUCUUACCUCUCCUCCUCGCGCGGUCGUGCCUGCGUCUCUCGUCCCCCUCCCUUCUUCUUUCACCGAACCACUCUCGAAGGGCCCGCUAACGAUGGUACUCGGCAUCCCCUCCUCCCCUGGCACCACCCACACACACGCAAAAUGCGCAACCAUCUUUUUGUUUUGGUUUUCUGGGCCUCUUUCUCCACGACCCCCUCCUUACUUGCUGUCUGCCCCCUCCCCUCCCCCACCAAAUUCCCUCUGCCCUCUCUCGUUCUCGGUUGCUCGUGUCUUCUUGCCUUCAUCUUGUGCUCUUCCCACCAUAGCGACGAUGCCUCAUGAUGACGUCUUGUCCUCCACCGCUACAGCUCCGAACCGCGUGCGCUUGUUUGCAUUGUCGCCUCUUUCUUCGCUGUGCCGGUGAUUGCGUCCCUGGCGCGUCUCUGGUGCGUGCGCGUCGGUUUCUCUCUUCUUCGGUUGUGCGUCUGUUUGUUUUUGUUUUCGCCUGCGUGUUCACGUGUCGGUGGAACACACGAGGCACAACAUGGACGCAUAAUUCCUCCCCUCCCCCCUCCCGCCCUCCCUCCUCCUCCACCCAACUGAUAUAUACAUAUAGAUAGGAAGGGACAGGAGGAGCUGGGCCGACUUGGAGGCACUUCGGGGGCUUGCGAGGCUCUUUAUGCUUAUGAGGAUAGUAGAGCGCCACAGAAGACUUAUUCUACGUUCAACUGUGCGUGUGUGUGUGUGUAUGCGUGUAUAUGCAAGUGAUGUGUGUGGGCCCACCAGCUCUCUUUUCGGGCCGCGAAGCGGCAGCACCGGUUACGAUGGUCCGUUCAACUAGGCGGAGACAAGUGGAGAUAGUGGAUAGAACAGAACUGUGAGACCAGGGAGCGCGUUAGCUGAAGCGAACAUCUCUUGAGUCUCCCCUCCUUUCUUUUUCUGUUCUGCCGUUCUUCAGUGCCCGUCCGGUUCCCGUUGGGAGGCGGCGACUGAGGAAACAGUGUGCAGGGAGAAGGACCGCUUCUGCCGUCUGUACCGGUGUGCGUGUGUACGGAUGUGCUUUCACGUGUCUGAUGUUGUGCGGAUCUCUCCUGCUGCGCCUGCUGCCCUGGUGUCUCAUCCCUUCUUGCUCUCUCCUUGUUCUUUUGUUUUUUUCGGGGGCGCUCAGCUAACGUUCUUGACUGUGCGUAUGCUGGCAGCGAGAGACACGGAAACGAGGAACAAGCUGAAACGCGAUGUAUGGGCUGCUCGAGCAUACUCCUCUCUCUCUCCUGUCUACCUUGUCUGCGCUCAUGCGCACAUGUGUGCAUCUACAUGUGUUUCUCUCUGUUAUCCGUGUCUGUGCACCCGACCCCUCCUCCCCUUCCCGCCUUCUUCUUUUUCCCUUUCGCGUGCGUGCGUGCGUGCGUGCAUGUUCGUGUAUCUUCUCCCGCUCUGUUUGUGAUCUACUUUGCUGUAUAUUCCCGUGCCUGUCCGCGACAUGCCCUCUCUGCACCGCCCCCCCCUCCUCUCUCUCCUUCCUCAUCCUUCCCUCCUGUAUCAGCUGGCGUUUUCCUCCGUGGCUCUUGCUUGCCCUGUGUGGAUGAGUAGGAGAGAGGACGAGGAGGGCGGCUGCACCCUCCUGACACGCAGAAGGAAGGCGAACCAACGAGGGUGCACAGACGCCGCGGUGCGAGCGGCAAAGAAGGCGGUGCGAAACAUUGAUGGAGCGAGCCGCGCAUCAAAAACAGCGUCGAAAGAAUCAAUGAGAACUUGAACGGAUAUUUUUUUCCCGUCUGGCUGUGUGUGCCACGCUUUCGAGUUGGUGACGAUGCUCAGCAGAAAGCCGUGAACGCUCCUCUUUUUCAAGGACCAGAAGACCAGGAGCAACACAAAACGAAGAUGGAAUGAUGCCGAGGAUUCAAUGCGGCAUCGUGGCAAAAGGCGUACUCCUCAUCCCUCUCCUCUAUUCUGUUCCUCGGCACCGCGAUGGCCAUGUCUCGCUGCUCUCUCUUUUUCAUGGCGUGUGUUAGUCGGCGCAUAUGUGUCUGCGUGAGGGAGUGUAUAGGCGUAUGCGUAUAUCGCAGGGUGCGUGCAGACGUGGGCGGCUCCUGCCUUUUCAGCUGCACGUGUGCGGAAGAGGGAAAGCUGGAGCGAAGAAUACACAGACACGCGCAAAGGAAUGAGAGCGGGGGAUGGAAGGGCAGCGAACGUGCUACCUGGGUGCGCUGCGGCCCUCCUUCCUCCCCACACGCCCGCGUUUCCUUGCCAAGGAAGGGUGAGGGUGAGAGCGGUUGGCACCGACACCCGCGCACGCACACUCAAACGCGCGCGCAGCAGCCGCGUUUGUGGAUGGGCCUUCUACCUCUUCCUCUGAUGCAAGUGAGACGAACCGAUACGCGCUUCUGAGUAGACUCAUUUUGUGUUCUUUGUUUUUUUUCCCCUUGCCGUGAUGGUCUCUCCCUCUCGUCUCUGGUGCGCUCGUAAACGCCAGCACUGCAUCGCCCGUCCGCUCCCGGGUGACUCCCCCAUCCCCUGUCGAUUCUCUUCCCCUAUCGAUUCUUGCUCCGGAGACUUCACCGAUAGCACACAUGCAACGAAACGAGCCCCCCUGCCGAAUGUGCAUGUAUGCGUGUUCCUUGUGUGUGUGUGUGUGUGUGUCUGCCCCCUCCUCCCUCCCCGCCACCCAUGCUGUCCCCUCCGUUAUCAUCGCCGCCGCUCCCCACCCCUUUUCCCACCUUCCUAUGCUUCGCACGUGCGCGUUUGGGCUUCCUUUUAUUAUUAUUAUGUGCGUUUUUUUUUAUGUGUCUGUGUGUGCGAGCCAAGGUGCUCUCGCCGUGCGCCGCUGUUCGAGUAGGCCGUCGGCAUUUCGUUGUUUUACUUUGUUGUUGUAUGUUGGCUGUUCUCGUUGUUGUCUGUUUCGCCGUCUGGUGGCCACUAUCCCCGGCUUGAGAGGGCAAGAGGGUAAAGGAGCGAGGGUGCUGUAGGGGCGCUGUGUGAGGACCACAACAGUUAUGUCGAGGAUGGCACUUCAUAGCCUCUGUCUUAUCGCUCUUUCCCUCUCUCUAUGUAUAUGCGUAUGUCUCUCGUACCCGCGUGUGUGUGCGAUCUCUCCCCUGACGGCUUGUCUUUGUUUGGCUUGCAUGUGUCUGCGUCUGCCCUUGCGCAUCUCCCUCUAUCCCCUCUUCCUCAGCGCUGUGGUUGUUGCUCUUGCAACCCUUGUUGCUGUGCGUACGCUGUAUGUGCGUGUAGGUGUAUGCCGCUUUCGCUCUCUCUCACACAUACGCACGCUUUCCAUUGUUGUUGUCUCCUUAUUAUAGUGGAGAAGGAGGGCGGGGGGAUGUUGUCGCAUAUACGCGUGUGUCUCUGUCGCUGCCUGACGAACUGCUGUUGGUUGUAACGGUUGCCUGCGAGUAUGCUGUGCUAUGGUGGGCGUCAUUCCUUGUAUCUCUGGCUCCCUCUAACAUUUUCGUGCCUCACGUUGUGUGAUGCCGAACUCGUCGCCGUUUUCGACGUUGCUUGUUUCCUUUUGUUCUUUGGCUUGUGCUCCGAGCUUUCUUCUUCCUCUUUUCGACGCAUGUGUGUCUGCCUGUGUGUGUGUGCGUGUGCCUCCGUGCUUCGAUAGAGUCGCUGUUGGCUUUGGCCGACUCGCACCUUCGCUUCCUCCUCUCCCUCUCCCGCCGCCUCGCGCGUUUUGGCGCGUUCGGCUCCGGGCGUCCGUUGGUCGUGCGCCCUCCGUUGUUUGAUGACGGCGUCUGUACUCGUUAUUCGUGUCUCUCCCCCAUUUUGAAGUUUCCGUCUUCGCGCCCCCCCCCCACCCACCCAUCCAUCCUCCCUCUCACUUUCAUGUUUGACCACGAGAACGAUGUCACCCCCACGCCGUAUACAGCGUCGUGUGCCAUGCGCGGGCGCGCGUGCAGCAAGGGCAGCAGAGAGAACGAGAGCUUCCCCGAGCAGUUCUUGUUGCCGAGCGCACUGUGUCGGCGUGUCACGUUCUCCCGCCGGCUCUCUCACGCUCUGCCCUACUUGUCCCCCCCCUCACUCCCUCAGUCUGAACGGCUACCGUGCUGCCUCUACAACGUUCCCCACAGCACAACGAUGUCACUGACUACAAGCCUCUUCGCCUGUAGUCUCAUUCUCUUCGUUGUGUGUGUGUGUGUGUGUGUGAGUGUGUAUGGGGGGGGGAGGACUGUCCAUCUCUCGCCGUGGUGACGGGGGGUCCAGCUCAGCGUGGUAUCACAUUGCCCAGUGUCCGCUCGGCGAGGAAGCCAAGAGGGUCCCCCGGCCUCUGCCGAUGCCAAGCCACCCCUCUGGUGGUGACAGGGCUGGGCCCCUACCGCCUAGGCAGGCCCAGAGCGGUGUAUCGCUCCUCAUGUCGGCGCUCAAGCGCUGGACGGCUCUGCGUCGGAGCGGGCUGCCACGGUGGGCGCGUUUGCACAAUUUAUACAAGAGGCACAGCGCCGGCGUGGCUCGAGCGCGUCCCACUCGGCCCUCGCAGCCUACUGGUGGGGAGGGGAGGGAGGGGGGCUGCGAGACGACCUGCGAGACGAGGGAGGGGGGGGAGCUCGAGGCAGAGGCCGUGCGCCGACUCAGCCAUCGGCGCACGGCUGCACCACGUGUGCAAAGUUGCUUGCCACCACGCGGUGGGUCGGCGUGCGGGAUUCGCGUGCCUGCGGGCAACCGUGUGGGUGUGCGCCUCUGAGCUUUUUGUGUGAGCGAGAGGGAGACACGGAGAGUGGCAGCCGCUGAGCGAGCGAGCGAGCAGGUGAGAGUGCGGGAGCGAGAGCAGACGCCUUGAAAUGGCGAGACGACGACGACAAGCGCACCUCCUUGUUUCUUUCGUUUACGUUUUGUUCGCUUUCGCCACAGCCAGCACGCACGCACAGAGACAGACAAAUUUCAGCAUGCGCGCGGGCACGGGCCCCCUCUCCGUUAUGGCAUCGCGUGCCAGUGGUGGCACAUGUGCGUGCUCUGUGUCCUGACGUUGCCUCCACGACGACACGGGCAUAUGGGACAGGAAAG
Molecule: unclassified non-coding RNA, 10882 nt
Filed under: Leishmania donovani
Lineage: Eukaryota; Euglenozoa; Kinetoplastea; Trypanosomatida; Trypanosomatidae
Description: gene:LdHU3.04.1440(CDS-product:RNA-binding_protei n_putative)
Source: RNAcentral